This is a long non-coding RNA of Culex quinquefasciatus (southern house mosquito), 682 nucleotides long. RefSeq lists it as uncharacterized. The transcript is spliced from 2 exons. The record is from RefSeq and is a predicted model, not a curated record. NCBI's taxonomy places the organism in Eukaryota, Metazoa, Arthropoda, Insecta, Diptera, Culicidae.
GAUGGGCGUGAUCAGCGGCUGCACCACAAAGAAAAAGAACUUUGGCGGAGAAUCUUGACUCAAACUCAAGGAGGAGGAAAGUUUUCUGGCUCAUAAUCGAGGCGCUUGGCUGUAGAUAAGCCUAGACUGGGUUAAUUACAGUAACUACCUCCUGCUUUUGCCCUGAUUGUGACCGUCUCCCAGCCAAUCGUGAAACAUUUGCCAAGCAAUUGACAAGUUGCGCAAGUGCACGGGAGUGAACGCAAUAUUCACGAAGGCAAUGAAGCACCGGUCGCGAGGACCCCGAAGGAUCAACGUGGAGGAAGUGGACUUGCCGACAUUAUUAUUUUAGUGCGGCUCACCGGUGAAACAUACGCCCAGUGCGACCCAACCGUGCCCGUAUUUGUCGGGUGUCGGUCCGGAUUCCAGGCGUCGUCUCUCAUGCUCGAAAAGUAAGCCGCAGGCCGCAGUACGGAAGCAGAAAGUCGUGGUUAAGGAGGAAGCGGAACUUGGCACCUGGUGGUGUCGGUGCACGAUGAUAUCUUCAAUUUGGACCACUAUUUGGAGAUUCAACGCCAGCUGUGUGGAAUUCCACCGCAGGAUUGCAAAGAGCGGAUUAUAAAGGACGCCGUGGCAAGUUCAGUAAAUAAAAAAAAACAAUCUGGAAUAAAUCGAGUUGCUAGUCGAGUUGUAUAAAGCAAAA